GUCCCAUUAGCUCAAAUGGUAGAGCGCCCUGUUCAUGAAAGUAUAAAAAAUUUGUACUUUGAUGAGCAGGGAAGGAUUGCGGUUCGAAUCCGUAAUGGGACU
This 102-nucleotide transfer RNA is filed under the name Bacillus sp. (in: firmicutes). Its description in RNAcentral is "Bacillus sp. (in: Bacteria) tRNA-OTHER". It matches the Rfam family "tRNA". From Rfam's summary of the family: Transfer RNA (tRNA) molecules are approximately 80 nucleotides in length. Their secondary structure includes four short double-helical elements and three loops (D, anti-codon, and T loops). Further hydrogen bonds mediate the characteristic L-shaped molecular structure. tRNAs have two regions of fundamental functional importance: the anti-codon, which is responsible for specific mRNA codon recognition, and the 3' end, to which the tRNAs corresponding amino acid is attached (by aminoacyl-tRNA synthetases). tRNAs cope with the degeneracy of the genetic code in two manners: having more than one tRNA (with a specific anti-codon) for a particular amino acid; and 'wobble' base-pairing, i.e. permitting non-standard base-pairing at the 3rd anti-codon position. The record is from RNAcentral. Lineage: Bacteria; Bacillati; Bacillota; Bacilli; Caryophanales; Bacillaceae. RNAcentral also lists the same sequence under 3 other names.